This 331-nucleotide unclassified non-coding RNA is filed under the name soil metagenome. Its description in RNAcentral is "partial contains 5.8S ribosomal RNA, internal transcribed spacer 2, and large subunit ribosomal RNA". The stretch from base 1 to 120 matches the Rfam family "5.8S ribosomal RNA", at positions 35 to 154 of the family's 154-position model. The record is from RNAcentral.
GAUGAAGAACGCAGCGAAAUGCGAUAAGUAAUGCGAAUUGCAGAAUCCGUGAGUCAUCGAAUCUUUGAACGCACAUUGCGCCCCUUGGUUAUUCCGAAGGGCAUGCCUGUUCGAGCGUCAUUAUCACCCCUCAAGCCCCGGCUUGGUGUUGGGCGACGUCCUCUUUGGGGACGCGCCUCGAAACGCUCGGCGGCGUGGCACCGGCUUUAAGCGUAGCAGAAUCUUUCGCUUUGGAAGUCGGGGCCCCGUCUGCCGGAAGACCUGCUCGCAAGGUUGACCUCGGAUCAGGCAGGGAUACCCGCUGAACUUAAGCAUAUCAAUAAGCGGAGGA